AUUGAACGCUGGCGGCAGGCCUAACACAUGCAAGUCGAGCGGAUGAAGGGAGCUUGCUCCUGGAUUCAGCGGCGGACGGGUGAGUAAUGCCUAGGAAUCUGCCUGGUAGGGGGGGAUAACGUCCGGAAACGGGCGCUAAUACCGCAUACGUCCUGAGGGAGAAAGUGGGGGAUCUUCGGACCGCACGCUAUCAGAUGAGCCUAGGUCGGAUUAGCUAGUUGGUGGGGUAAAGGCCUACCAAGGCGACGAUCCGUAACUGGUCUGAGAGGAUGAUCAGUCACACUGGAACUGAGACACGGUCCAGACUCCUACGGGAGGCAGCAGUGGGGAAUAUUGGACAAUGGGCGAAAGCCUGAUCCAGCCAUGCCGCGUGUGUGAAGAAGGUCUUCGGAUUGUAAAGCACUUUAAGUUGGGAGGAAGGGCAGUAAGUUAAUACCUUGCUGUUUUGACGUUACCAACAGAAUAAGCACCGGCUAACUUCGUG
RNAcentral lists this ribosomal RNA (484 nucleotides) under uncultured bacterium. RNAcentral describes it as "partial 16S ribosomal RNA". It matches the Rfam family "Bacterial small subunit ribosomal RNA", at positions 30 to 507 of the family's 1533-position model. The record is from RNAcentral.